This 255-nucleotide ribosomal RNA is filed under the name uncultured bacterium. Its description in RNAcentral is "partial 16S ribosomal RNA". It matches the Rfam family "Bacterial small subunit ribosomal RNA", at positions 524 to 776 of the family's 1533-position model. The record is from RNAcentral.
UACGUAGGGCGCAAGCGUUGUCCGGAAUUAUUGGGCGUAAAGAGCUCGUAGGCGGCUUGUCACGUCGGCUGUGAAAUCCCGGAGCUCAACUCCGGGUCUGCAGUCGAUACGGGCGGACUGGAGUACUGCAGGGGAGACUGGAAUUCCUGGUGUAGCGGUGAAAUGCGCAGAUAUCAGGAGGAACACCGGUGGCGAAGGCGGGGUCUCUGGGCAGUAACUGACGCUGAGGAGCGAAAGCGUGGGGGAGCGAACAGG